CGUUUGACCAAAAUUCUAUUUUUCUGAGCUCGGAUUCUUAUUAAAUUUUCCAAACAUGCCAUAGUGAUUAUAUAACAAAUCAAAUAGCACGUGUGGCUACAGUAUAUUGGACAUAGCCACAUUGGUGGUAACCAUCCAUAAGUGGAUACGCUAUUGCAAUGAUGAAAUGACAGAUUAAAGUAAUCUAUGAAAGGGAAAGGAGAGAUU
Molecule: non-coding RNA, 207 nt
Organism: Pelobates cultripes (western spadefoot toad)
Lineage: Eukaryota; Metazoa; Chordata; Amphibia; Anura; Pelobatidae
Source: the annotation of a GenBank genome assembly